Molecule: ribosomal RNA, 253 nt
Filed under: uncultured bacterium
Lineage: Bacteria
Description: partial 16S ribosomal RNA
Rfam family: Bacterial small subunit ribosomal RNA
Source: RNAcentral
GACAGAGGGUGCAAACGUUGUUCGGAAUUACUGGGCGUAAAGCGCGUGUAGGCGGCCCGGAAAGUCGGAUGUGAAAGCCCUGGGCUUAACCUAGGAAGUGCAUUCGAAACUCUCGGGCUUGAGUUCUGGAGAGGAAGGCGGAAUUCUCGGUGUAGAGGUGAAAUUCGUAGAUAUCGAGAGGAACACCGGUGGCGAAGGCGGCCGUCUGGACAGUGACUGACGCUGAGACGCGAAAGCGUGGGGAGCAAACAGG